Molecule: transfer RNA, 73 nt
Filed under: Marinitoga piezophila KA3
Lineage: Bacteria; Thermotogati; Thermotogota; Thermotogae; Petrotogales; Petrotogaceae
Rfam family: tRNA
About the family: Transfer RNA (tRNA) molecules are approximately 80 nucleotides in length. Their secondary structure includes four short double-helical elements and three loops (D, anti-codon, and T loops).
Source: Rfam by way of RNAcentral
CGGGGCGUGGCGCAGAUGGGAGCGCGUUUGCAUGGGGCGCAAAAGGUCGCUGGUUCAAGUCCAGUCGCCCCGA